GACGAACGCUGGCGGCGUGCUUAACACAUGCAAGUCGAACGGAAAGUCCCUGCUUUUGUGGGGUACUCGAGUGGCGAACGGGUGAGUAACACGUGAGUAACCUGCCCUUGACUUUGGGAUAACUGCAGGAAACUGGGGCUAAUACCGGAUAGGAGCUCCUGCUGCAUGGUGGGGGUUGGAAAGUUUCGGCGGUUGGGGAUGGACUCGCGGCUUAUCAGCUUGUUGGUGGGGUAGUGGCUUACCAAGGCUUUGACGGGUAGCCGGCCUGAGAGGGUGACCGGCCACAUUGGGACUGAGAUACGGCCCAGACUCCUACGGGAGGCAGCAGUGGGGAAUAUUGCACAAUGGGCGGAAGCCUUAUGCAGCAACGCCGCGUGCGGGAUGACGGCCUUCGGGUUGUAAACCGCUUUCGCCUGUGACGAAGCGUGAGUGACGGUAAUGGGUAAAGAAGCACCGGCUAACUACGUG
This 468-nucleotide ribosomal RNA is filed under the name uncultured bacterium. RNAcentral's name for it is "partial 16S ribosomal RNA". It matches the Rfam family "Bacterial small subunit ribosomal RNA", at positions 28 to 507 of the family's 1533-position model. The record is from RNAcentral.